This 253-nucleotide ribosomal RNA is filed under the name uncultured bacterium. Its description in RNAcentral is "partial 16S ribosomal RNA". It matches the Rfam family "Bacterial small subunit ribosomal RNA", at positions 524 to 776 of the family's 1533-position model. The record is from RNAcentral.
UACGUAGGGUGCAAGCGUUGUCCGGAAUCAUUGGGCGUAAAGCGCGCGUAGGCGGCCUGAUAAGUCCGCUGUAAAAGUCAACGGCUCAACUGUUGAAAGCCGGUGGAUACUGUCGGGCUAGAGUACGGAAGAGGCAAGUGGAAUUCCUGGUGUAGCGGUGGAAUGCGCAGAUAUCAGGAGGAACACCUAUAGCGAAGGCAGCUUGCUGGGACGUUACUGACGCUAAGGCGCGAAAGCGUGGGGAGCGAACAGG